Molecule: ribosomal RNA, 344 nt
Filed under: uncultured Flavobacteriia bacterium
Lineage: Bacteria; Pseudomonadati; Bacteroidota; Flavobacteriia
Description: bacterial SSU rRNA
Rfam family: Bacterial small subunit ribosomal RNA
Source: RNAcentral
UUUAAAGGGUCCGUAGGCGGGCUAUUAAGUCAGAGGUGAAAGUUUGCAGCUCAACUGUAAAAUUGCCUUUGAUACUGGUAGUCUUGAGUUAUAGUGAAGUGGUUAGAAUAUGUGGUGUAGCGGUGAAAUGCAUAGAUAUCACAUAGAAUACCAAUUGCGAAGGCAGAUCACUAACUAUAUACUGACGCUGAUGGACGAAAGCGUGGGGAGCGAACGGGAUUAGAUACCCCGGUAGUCCACGCCGUAAACGAUGGAUACUAGCUGCUUGGAAUUUUUCAGUGGCUAAGCGAAAGUGAUAAGUAUCCCACCUGGGGAGUACGUUCGCAAGAAUGAAACUCAAAGGA